UGUAGCUCAGAGGCAGAGCGCUUGCCUUGUAUAGGCAAAGUCCUGAGUUAGAUCCUCAGUA
This 61-nucleotide transfer RNA is filed under the name Heterocephalus glaber (naked mole-rat). The record is from Rfam by way of RNAcentral. Lineage: Eukaryota; Metazoa; Chordata; Mammalia; Rodentia; Bathyergidae.